GCAGGUGUGGUGUAACGGUAGCACUUCACCCUUCCAAGGUGACUGAGAGGGGUUCGAAUCCCCCCACCUGCU
RNAcentral lists this transfer RNA (72 nucleotides) under Anaerolinea sp. RNAcentral's name for it is "tRNA-Gly". It matches the Rfam family "tRNA". Rfam says of the family: Transfer RNA (tRNA) molecules are approximately 80 nucleotides in length. Their secondary structure includes four short double-helical elements and three loops (D, anti-codon, and T loops). Lineage: Bacteria; Bacillati; Chloroflexota; Anaerolineae; Anaerolineales; Anaerolineaceae. RNAcentral also lists the same sequence under 1 other name. The record is from RNAcentral.